This 73-nucleotide transfer RNA is filed under the name Zootermopsis nevadensis. It matches the Rfam family "tRNA". Rfam says of the family: Transfer RNA (tRNA) molecules are approximately 80 nucleotides in length. Lineage: Eukaryota; Metazoa; Arthropoda; Insecta; Blattodea; Termopsidae. The record is from Rfam by way of RNAcentral.
GCCACGGUGGUCCAUCGGUUAGAACGCUGGCCUUGUAAUCCUGGGGUCUCGGGUUCGAUUCCCGGCGGUGCCC